This 460-nucleotide ribosomal RNA is filed under the name uncultured bacterium. Its description in RNAcentral is "partial 16S ribosomal RNA". It matches the Rfam family "Bacterial small subunit ribosomal RNA", at positions 338 to 795 of the family's 1533-position model. The record is from RNAcentral.
CCUACGGGUGGCAGCAGUGAGGAAUAUUGGUCAAUGGCCGGAAGGCUGAACCAGCCAAGCCGCGUGAAGGACGAAGGUGCCAAGCAUUGUAAACUUCUUUUGUCAAGGGACAACAUCAGGCUCGAGAGCCUUACCGAGGGUACUUGAAGAAAAAGCAUCGGCUAACUCCGUUCCAGCAGCCGCGGUAAUACGGAGGAUGCGAGCGUUAUCCGGAUUUAUUGGGUGUACAGGGCGUGUAGGCGGGAGUGCAAGUCAGAUGUGAAAACUAUGGUCUCAACCCAUAGCCUGCAUUUGAAACUGUACUUCUUGAGGGCUGGAGAGGAAAUCGGAAGUCCGUGUGUAGCGGGGAAAUGCGUAGAUAUACGGAGGAACACCAGUGGCGAAGGAGGAUUGCUGGACAGUAACUGACGCGGAGGCGAGAAAGCGUGGGGAGCAAACAGGAGUAGAUACCCGAGUAGGC